This 207-nucleotide ribosomal RNA is filed under the name Staphylococcus aureus. RNAcentral's name for it is "partial 16S ribosomal RNA". It matches the Rfam family "Bacterial small subunit ribosomal RNA", at positions 263 to 468 of the family's 1533-position model. Lineage: Bacteria; Bacillati; Bacillota; Bacilli; Caryophanales; Staphylococcaceae. The record is from RNAcentral.
GCUUACCAAGGCAACGAUGCAUAGCCGACCUGAGAGGGUGAUCGGCCACACUGGAACUGAGACACGGUCCAGACUCCUACGGGAGGCAGCAGUAGGGAAUCUUCCGCAAUGGGCGAAAGCCUGACGGAGCAACGCCGCGUGAGUGAUGAAGGUCUUCGGAUCGUAAAACUCUGUUAUUAGGGAAGAACAUAUGUGUAAGUAACUGUG